UCAACCUACCACAACCUCUUCUCCCUCGAAACCGUCACUGAUGGGAGAAUCACUACGGUGCUUAGUGUUGCCCUUUGCCUUGCUUUGAUUUCACAAUCCAUUGCUUCCUCCUCUGCAUGACGUAAAUUAACCUUCGUCGUCAACUACAGAGGAGGAGGAGGUGUACCUAAGUUAAGAAAACUCCAACAUUCAGAUUAGAAUUCAAUUCAAUAGAGUAAUAUUCAGAUAUUUGGACAAUGCGUACCAGGUUGAUAUUGUAAGCUAGGGGGGUACUAAAAAAUAGCAGGUUAAGGAGGUCAAUGAACUUUUCAUGAUCCAUUAGAGCGAGUUCAAGGUGCAACAAAUGCAUGUGAAGUGUGUGAGCUUGACUAGACAAUAAAGAGUACUUACUGGUGUGACUUGUGAGUGAUAAUGAUCGAAUUUAGUUAGGUGCUGGGUCUUUUUAUUCUUUCAUAACUAAUCUUAUCAGUAUUAAUUAAGUGAAACUAUUAGUUUUGAAUUUA
Glycine soja is the source of this 503-nucleotide long non-coding RNA. RefSeq lists it as uncharacterized. The record is from RefSeq and is a predicted model, not a curated record. The transcript has 2 exons. NCBI's taxonomy places the organism in Eukaryota, Viridiplantae, Streptophyta, Magnoliopsida, Fabales, Fabaceae.